Molecule: ribosomal RNA, 287 nt
Rfam family: Bacterial small subunit ribosomal RNA
GGAGGCAGCAGUAGGGAAUCUUCCGCAAGGGACAAAAGUCUGACGGAGCAACGCCGCGUGAGUGACAAAGGCCUUCGGGUCGUAAAGCUCUGUUGUUAGGGAAAAACAAGUACCGUUCGAAUAGGGCGGUACCUUGACGGUACCUAACCAAAAAGCCACGGCUAACUACUUGCCACCAGCCGCGGUAAUACGUAGGUGGCAAGCGUUGUCCGGAAUUAUUGGGCGUAAAGCGCGCGCAGGCGGUCUUUUAAGUCUGAUGUGAAAGCCCACGGCUCAACCGUGGAGGG